This 301-nucleotide ribosomal RNA is filed under the name uncultured bacterium. RNAcentral's name for it is "partial 16S ribosomal RNA". It matches the Rfam family "Bacterial small subunit ribosomal RNA", at positions 509 to 807 of the family's 1533-position model. The record is from RNAcentral.
CAGUCGCCGCGGGAAUACGAAGGGUGCUAGCGUUGCUCGGAAUGACUGGGCGUAAAGCGUGCGCAGGCGGUUCGUUAAGACAGAUGUGAAAUCCCCGGGCUUAACCUGGGAACUGCAUUUGUGACUGGCGAGCUAGAGUAUGGCAGAGGGGGGUAGAAUUCCACGUGUAGCAGUGAAAUGCGCAGAGAUGUGGAGGAAUACCGAUGGCGAAGGCAGCCCCCUGGGCCAAUACUGACGCUCAUGCACGAAAGCGUGGGGAGCAAACAGGAUUAGAUACCCCGGUAGUCCCUGUCUCUUAUAC